Molecule: ribosomal RNA, 253 nt
Filed under: uncultured bacterium
Lineage: Bacteria
Description: partial 16S ribosomal RNA
Rfam family: Bacterial small subunit ribosomal RNA
Source: RNAcentral
UACGUAGGGCGCAAGCGUUGUCCGGAAUUAUUGGGCGUAAAGAGCUCGUAGGCGGCUUGUCACGUCGAUUGUGAAAGCCCGAGGCUUAACCUCGGGUCUGCAGUCGAUACGGGCUAGCUAGAGUGUGGUAGGGGAGAUCGGAAUUCCUGGUGUAGCGGUGAAAUGCGCAGAUAUCAGGAGGAACACCGGUGGCGAAGGCGGAUCUCUGGGCCAUUACUGACGCUGAGGAGCGAAAGCGUGGGGAGCGAGCAGG